CUCUUACAGGUGUGUGGGGCUCACUCAAAGGUAGUGUUCAAAUCCAGGAAAGCCUGAGGGUUGAAAUAUACCAGUUAGCAAAUUCUAAUCUUCUAGUAUGAUUUUCAAAUGCUUGAUCUUCUUUUUUUUUUUUUUUUUUUUUGGAGAGACUGGGAGGUAGUGGGGGAGGGGCAGAGAGAAAGAGGAAGACAGAGAAUCCCAAGCAGGCUCCAUAGCUGUCAGCGCAGAGCCUGACACAGGGCUCAAACCCACGCACUGCGAGAUCAUGACCUGAGCCGAAACCAGGAGUCGGACGCUCAACCGACUGAGCCACCGAGCUGCACCUAUAUCUUCUGUUCUAAUGUGUAACCUUCGUGCAUAGGUUCACCUUACUUCCCUGGGCCUUAGUUUGCCCAUCUGUGAAACAAGAUGGGUUGAUCCUGGGUUGGCACGGAGGAGAACUAAAUUCUCUCUCUCUCUUUCCUUCCCCAGCAAAGGCAGACAUCCCUAAUGAACUCCCAAGAAUGCACUCCUUCUCAGAAGAGCAAUCGGAUAGCCUGCCAGGACUAAGCUACCCAGGUUUGGUUCAGGGCUGAAGCUGUUUGCCAGUCAUGGAGAGUAAAUGCUCACAAAUCAUCUGGGAGGUACGGACAAGAGAAGCAAGGUCCGGGGAAGCUGACUUGCCUAAGACUUGGGAGGUGACAUGGAAGGAACCAGAAAUCCCAAUGACCUCUUCUGUUAGUCUUUGACUGAGAUCGGAGAUGUGAGCCUCACUGAAUGAGUAGGUAGAUGAAUGAAUGCAUGAGGCGUGUGAGAGCAUAAGAGAAUGAUAUGGUCGGGCCAAGCGUUUGUCUUCUAAGGCUUAUGAGCAACAGUUAGGCUAUUUUUAGCUGAGUCUUCAGUAAACAGCCUUUAUUUUGACUGCCAAGUGGCACAGUAAAAAUUCUCUAUGGUAACAAGACAGCUUUGUUAUUUUUGAAGAUCAAAGUAUUUUCAAAUGCCAUUCCCUAUUUUUAAAUGAACUAUUGAGACAGCAUUUUUGUUUUCUUUUUGGCUAAAGACUUUGACCAGGUUGAGAAUCAGUAGGUGUUGAACUUUACCUGGUGUUACAUUCUAAGCCUGAGAUGAGGAUUGUCUCGGAAUUCAGGCAGGGCCCUUUGGCCCGUCUGCAAAUGGGCCAUCUCUGCUGGGUCCCUCUCCUACCAUGCAAAGGUCACCCAAGUCC
Molecule: long non-coding RNA, 1204 nt
Filed under: Felis catus (domestic cat)
Lineage: Eukaryota; Metazoa; Chordata; Mammalia; Carnivora; Felidae
Description: lncRNA (ENSFCAG00000047459.1)
Source: RNAcentral